GACGAACGCUGGCGGCGUGCCUAAUACAUGCAAGUAGAACGCUGAAGGAGGAGCUUGCUCUUCUGGAUGAGUUGCGAACGGGUGAGUAACGCGUAGGUAACCUGCCUGGUAGCGGGGGAUAACUAUUGGAAACGAUAGCUAAUACCGCAUAACAGUAGAUGUUGCAUGACAUUUGCUUAAAAGGUGCAAUUGCACCACUACCAGAUGGACCUGCGUUGUAUUAGCUAGUUGGUGGGGUAACGGCUCACCAAGGCGACGAUACAUAGCCGACCUGAGAGGGUGAUCGGCCACACUGGGACUGAGACACGGCCCAGACUCCUACGGGAGGCAGCAGUAGGGAAUCUUCGGCAAUAGACGGAAGUCUGACCGAGCAACGCCGCGUGAGUGCAGAAGGUUUUCGGAUCGUAAAGCUCUGUUGUAAGAGAAGAACGAGUGUGAGAGUGGAAAGUUCACACUGUGACGGUAUCUUACCAGAAAGGGACGGCUAACUACGUG
Molecule: ribosomal RNA, 495 nt
Filed under: uncultured bacterium
Lineage: Bacteria
Description: partial 16S ribosomal RNA
Rfam family: Bacterial small subunit ribosomal RNA
Source: RNAcentral